UACGAAGGGGGCUAGCGUUGUUCGGAUUUACUGGGCGUAAAGCGCGUGUAGGCGGGUCGUUAAGUUGGGGGUGAAAUCCCGGAGCUCAACUCCGGAACUGCCUCCAAAACUGGCGACCUGGAGCAGAUGAGAGGCGAGUGGAAUUCCGAGUGUAGAGGUGAAAUUCGUAGAUAUUCGGAGGAACACCAGUGGCGAAGGCGACUCGCUGGCAUCUUGCUGACGCUGAGACGCGAAAGCGUGGGGAGCAAACAGG
This 253-nucleotide ribosomal RNA is filed under the name uncultured bacterium. RNAcentral describes it as "partial 16S ribosomal RNA". It matches the Rfam family "Bacterial small subunit ribosomal RNA", at positions 524 to 776 of the family's 1533-position model. The record is from RNAcentral.